Molecule: non-coding RNA, 24 nt
Filed under: Arabidopsis thaliana (thale cress)
Lineage: Eukaryota; Viridiplantae; Streptophyta; Magnoliopsida; Brassicales; Brassicaceae
Source: RNAcentral
AAGUGCACUUAUCGCUUUACGCCA